AGCCAGACUCCUACGGGAGGCAGCAGUGGGGAAUAUUGCACAAUGGGGGAAACCCUGAUGCAGCGACGCCGCGUGAGCGAAGAAGUACCUCGGUAUGUAAAGCUCUAUCAGCAGGGAAGAAGAUGACGGUACCUGACCAAGAAGCUCCGGCUAACUACGUGCCAGCCGCCGCGGUAAUACGUAGGGAGCAAGCGUUAUCCGGAAUUAUUGGGUGUAAAGGGUGCGUAGACGGGAUAACAAGUUGGUUGUGAAACCCCUCGGCUCAACUGAGGAACUGCAACCAAAACUAUUAUUCUUGAGUGCAGGAGAGGAAAGUGGAAUUCCUAGUGUAGCGGUGAAAUGCGUAGAUAUUAGGAAGAACACCGGUGGCGAAGGCGACUUUCUGGACUGUAACUGACGUUGAGGCACGAAAGUGUGGGGAGCAAACAGGAUUAGAUACCCGCGUAA
RNAcentral lists this ribosomal RNA (447 nucleotides) under uncultured bacterium. RNAcentral describes it as "partial 16S ribosomal RNA". It matches the Rfam family "Bacterial small subunit ribosomal RNA", at positions 329 to 793 of the family's 1533-position model. The record is from RNAcentral.